GGAGGGUAUAGCUCAGUGGUAGAGCACGUGCUUAGCAUGCACAAGGUCCUGGGUUCAAUCCCCAGUGCCUCCA
RNAcentral lists this transfer RNA (73 nucleotides) under Vicugna pacos (alpaca). RNAcentral's name for it is "tRNA-Ala (AGC) (tRNA-Ala-AGC-639-1)". It matches the Rfam family "tRNA". Rfam says of the family: Transfer RNA (tRNA) molecules are approximately 80 nucleotides in length. The record is from RNAcentral. Lineage: Eukaryota; Metazoa; Chordata; Mammalia; Artiodactyla; Camelidae.